GCGUUGUUCGUAUUCAUUGGGCGUAAAGUGUGCGUAGGUGGCGGGGUAAGUCAGGUGUGAAAUUUCGGAGCUCAACUCCGAAACUGCAUUUGAUACUGCCUUGCUUGAGGACUGGAGAGGAGACUGGAAUUUACGGUGUAGCAGUGAAAUGCGUAGAGAUCGUAAGGAAGACCAGUGGCGAAGGCGGGUCUCUGGACAGUUCCUGACACUGAGGCACGAAGGCCAG
This 226-nucleotide ribosomal RNA is filed under the name uncultured bacterium. Its description in RNAcentral is "partial 16S ribosomal RNA". It matches the Rfam family "Bacterial small subunit ribosomal RNA", at positions 538 to 763 of the family's 1533-position model. The record is from RNAcentral.